GCUUGCACCUUAUCUUAGCGGCGGACGGGUGAGUAAUGCUUAGGAAUCUGCCUAUUAGUGGGGGACAACAUUCCGAAAGGAAUGCUAAUACCGCAUACGUCCUACGGGAGAAAGCAGGGGAUCUUCGGACCUUGCGCUAAUAGAUGAGCCUAAGUCGGAUUAGCUAGUUGGUGGGGUAAAGGCCUACCAAGGCGACGAUCUGUAGCGGGUCUGAGAGGAUGAUCCGCCACACUGGGACUGAGACACGGCCCAGACUCCUACGGGAGGCAGCAGUGGGGAAUAUUGGACAAUGGGGGGAACCCUGAUCCAGCCAUGCCGCGUGUGUGAAGAAGGCCUUAUGGUUGUAAAGCACUUUAAGCGAGGAGGAGGUUACUGAGACUAAUACUCUUGGAUAGUGGACGUUACUCGCAGAAUAAGCACCGGCUAACUCUGUGCCAGCAGCCGCGGUAAUACAGAGGGUGCGAGCGUUAAUCGGAUUUACUGGGCGUAAAGCGUGCGUAGGCGGCUUUUUAAGUCGGAUGUGAAAUCCCCGAGCUUAACUUGGGAAUUGCAUUCGAUACUGGGAAGCUAGAGUAUGGGAGAGGAUGGUAGAAUUCCAGGUGUAGCGGUGAAAUGCGUAGAGAUCUGGAGGAAUACCGAUGGCGAAGGCAGCCAUCUGGCCUAAUACUGACGCUGAGGUACGAAAGCAUGGGGAGCAAACAGGAUUAGAUACCCUGGUAGUCCAUGCCGUAAACGAUGUCUACUAGCCGUUGGGGCCUUUGAGGCUUUAGUGGCGCAGCUAACGCGAUAAGUAGACCGCC
RNAcentral lists this ribosomal RNA (800 nucleotides) under uncultured Acinetobacter sp. Its description in RNAcentral is "bacterial SSU rRNA". It matches the Rfam family "Bacterial small subunit ribosomal RNA", at positions 78 to 873 of the family's 1533-position model. The record is from RNAcentral. Lineage: Bacteria; Pseudomonadati; Pseudomonadota; Gammaproteobacteria; Moraxellales; Moraxellaceae.